AUGAAAAAUAACUACAAGGUAAAUUCAGAUAAUCAAAAUGUCAUUGCGAGCCCGGGGGCGCCUGGAGAAGCGGUGAGGUGGCCGUUCGCGCCUCUUCGGCCUCGGGGUCUUCCCCGCUACUCCAGCGACGGGGCCCCCAGCGGCUCUGGGCCCCAAGGACCCGCAGGGAAAGUUCACAGGGUCCCCGCCGAGCACAAGCCUUCGCAAUUCGACAAGAAAAUCCUGCUGUGGACCGGACGUUUCAAAACGAUGGAGGAGAUCCCCCCUUGGGUGCCGCCAGAAAUGAUAGAUGCUGCAAGAAACAGAGCUCGGGCGAAAGCGUGUUACAUAAUGAUCGGAUUCACAAUUAUCGCCUGCUUUGCAGUGACCGCGUCAGCCAAAAGGGCUGUGGAACGACACGAAUCCUUAACAAGUUGGAACCUGGCAAAGAAGGCUAAGUGGCAUGAAGAGGCUGCGUUGGCUGCACAAGCUAAGGCUAAAUGAUAUUCUGAAGUGUUCAUUGGAAUAUCAUCACUAUUAUCAGCAACGAUAAAAGAUAGGUAAAAUAGAAU
Ceratotherium simum simum (southern white rhinoceros) is the source of this 551-nucleotide non-coding RNA. The record is from RefSeq and is a predicted model, not a curated record. NCBI's taxonomy places the organism in Eukaryota, Metazoa, Chordata, Mammalia, Perissodactyla, Rhinocerotidae.